UACGUAGGGGGCGAGCGUUGUCCGGAUUUAUUGGGCGUAAAGAGCUCGUAGGCGGUUUGGCAAGUCGGGUGUGAAAACUCCGGGCUCAACUCGGAGACGCCACUCGAUACUGCUAUGACUCGAGUCCGGUAGGGGAGUGCGGAAUUCCUGGUGUAGCGGUGAAAUGCGCAGAUAUCAGGAGGAACACCCGUGGCGAAGGCGGCUCUCUGGGACGGUACUGACGCUGAGACGCGAAAGCGUGGGGAGCGAACAGG
RNAcentral lists this ribosomal RNA (254 nucleotides) under uncultured bacterium. Its description in RNAcentral is "partial 16S ribosomal RNA". It matches the Rfam family "Bacterial small subunit ribosomal RNA", at positions 524 to 776 of the family's 1533-position model. The record is from RNAcentral.